Molecule: ribosomal RNA, 502 nt
Filed under: uncultured bacterium
Lineage: Bacteria
Description: bacterial SSU rRNA
Rfam family: Bacterial small subunit ribosomal RNA
Source: RNAcentral
GAGUUUGAUCCUGGCUCAGGAUGAACGCUGGCGGCGUGCUUAACACAUGCAAGUCGAGCGGAGCACAUCAUUGGAAUCCUUCGGGAGGAAGAAGGUGUGGCUUAGCGGCGGACGGGUGAGUAACGCGUGGACAACCUGCCCUAUGCAGGGGGAUAACAUCCGGAAACGGGUGCUAAUACCGCAUAAGCGCACAGUACCGCAUGGUACGGUGUGAAAAGCCGAGGCGGCAUAGGAUGGGUCCGCGUUGGAUUAGGCAGUUGGCGGGGUAACGGCCCACCAAACCGACGAUCCAUAGCCGGCCUGAGAGGGUGGACGGCCACAUUGGGACUGAGACACGGCCCAGACUCCUACGGGAGGCAGCAGUGGGGAAUAUUGCACAAUGGGGGGAACCCUGAUGCAGCGACGCCGCGUGGGUGAGGAAGUACUUCGGUAUGUAAAGCCCUAUCAGCAGGGAAGAAAAUGACGGUACCUGACUAAGAAGCCCCGGCUAACUACGUGCCAG